CCCUUAGACGUUCUGGGCCGCACGCGCGCUACACUGACCAGUGCAACAAGCAUCCGUCCUUGGCCGACAGGCCCGGGCAAUCUUUGAACGCUGGUCGUGAUGGGGAUAGACUUUUGCAAUUUUUGGUCUUCAACGAGGAAUUCCUAGUAAACGCAAGUCAUCAACUUGCAUUGAUUACGUCCCUGCCCUUUGUACACACCGCCCGUCGCACCUACCGAUUGAAUGGUCCGGUGAAGCCUCCGGAUUGGCGCGCACCUCGGUGCCGCCGAGAAGUUGGCUAAACCUUNCNAUUUACNGGAAGGUGAANUCGUANCA
This 315-nucleotide ribosomal RNA is filed under the name uncultured eukaryote. Its description in RNAcentral is "partial 18S ribosomal RNA". It matches the Rfam family "Eukaryotic small subunit ribosomal RNA", at positions 1470 to 1796 of the family's 1831-position model. The record is from RNAcentral.